Molecule: ribosomal RNA, 254 nt
Filed under: uncultured bacterium
Lineage: Bacteria
Description: partial 16S ribosomal RNA
Rfam family: Bacterial small subunit ribosomal RNA
Source: RNAcentral
CGUAGGGUGCGAGCGUUAAUCGGAAUUACUGGGCGUAAAGCGUGCGCAGGCGGUUAUACAAGACAGGCGUGAAAUCCCCGGGCUUAACCUGGGAAUGGCGCCUGUGACUGUAUAGCUAGAGUGUGUCAGAGGGGGGUAGAAUUCCACGUGUAGCAGUGAAAUGCGUAGAUAUGUGGAGGAAUACCAAUGGCGAAGGCAGCCCCCUGGGAUAACACUGACGCUCAUGCACGAAAGCGUGGGGAGCAAACAGGAUU